CCUACGGGUGGCUGCAGUGAGGAAUAUUGCGCAAUGGGGGAAACCCUGACGCAGCAACGCCGCGUGAGUGAGGAAGGUUUUCGGACCGUAAAGCUCUGUCGAGCGGGAAGAAGUGCAUGGUGGCUAAUAUCCAUCAUGCUUGACGGUACCGCUAAAGGAAGCACCGGCUAACUCCGUGCCAGCAGCCGCGGUAAUACGGGGGGUGCUAUCGUUCGUCGGGAGCAUGGGGCGGGCUGAGCAAGUCAGAUGCGAAAGCCCUGGGCUUAACCUAGGAAGUGCAUUUGAAACUGUUCAGCUGGAGUAAGGGAGAGGAAAGUGGAAUUCCUGGUGUAGAGGUGAAAUUCGUAGAUAUCAGGAGGAACACCGGUGGCGAAGGCGACUUUCUGGCCCUAUACUGACGCUGAGACGCGAGAGCGUGGGUAGCAAACAGGAUUAGAUACCCGAGUAGUC
Molecule: ribosomal RNA, 450 nt
Filed under: uncultured bacterium
Lineage: Bacteria
Description: partial 16S ribosomal RNA
Rfam family: Bacterial small subunit ribosomal RNA
Source: RNAcentral